UACCUCCACUGGAUGUAUUUGGUGCGAUGGUCACAGGCUUUGAACUGUGACUGGUGACACUAGAGGGAAAAAAAGGCAUAAGACAUAAGUUUGUACCACCAUGAUGGAACCUUGUCUUUGAUGUUUGUUAUAUAAUUAUAAUAAAAAUAACCCAACCCAAGGUCCAACUUGAUUAAUUCUCCUAUAUAAUAAAAUUCUAAAGAACUUCUUUGGGGGACAACACCGAGAGAUUCCAUUUUUACCAUCUCUAUUUCUUCACAGAACUCUCUCCCCUCCAUUGGUUUAUACUUUGUAUCAACAAUUAGUACCGUGGACGUCGAUCGAACACGUGACCUUCAAAUAAUUUCAAAACCCGUACCCUUCGACGCCACUGACGGCCAUGGAUCAACAGCUUUCUACAAUUGAACCCGUUAUUAGUCUUUGCAUGAAACCAAACUGAGCCAUCGGACACUGGCUUCAUAUCAGUCUACCCAAAGCACACCGUAAAACACCACCAUGGUUCGACAAUCCCCUCUUUGCCGGAAACCAACAAAAUAACAGUUACUUUCCUCCAUUAACCACUGAGAAUCCCGUGGAGACUCUUCCUCAUCCACCCCCAAAACAAUGGCUUGUCUAAUUAGGGAUUAUUUUUGGAGGCUUAAGUGAUUCCUGCUUUUUGGAAAAUUUCCAUGCUCCGUACCUCACUUCAUUUUCCAGAUAAGUCUUACUCUCUCUUUUUAUAUAUAAGGAUGAAAUGCUGCAAUUUUGUGAAUUUACUGAAUUAAUCUCAUGCGCAGUCUUACAGGGGUUCUUUUAGUAUUCCAUUGUAUUUGAAUUGUGGUCUUAUGAUCAUGAUUUAUUAAAACCACAAUAAAUAUAGCUUUCUAAAUGCAGAAAAUUUCAGUUUUAGAGCUCAGUUACUCAAGCCUGGAAAAGUGCAUGACUUCAUGUUGCAAUUAAAAAAGGGGGGGUGACCCUUGUUAUAAUUAAUUAGGACUUGCAUGCCAUUUGGGUAGAAAGGUUGGAAUAGUGGCUAUUGCUGGCUCUCUGUCCCCUGUAUAAAACUUGACUUUUGCCAGUUCUUAUUUCUUCUGCAUGUACAGGUUUGUAUCUCAUUUCCCCCAUUCUAGAAAACUCACAAGUUGUUCUACUUCAAUUUCCUUCAUCCUUGUUUUCUUGCAACGCUUGUAACUAAUAUUCACAAUAUUUUUCCUUAAUUAUCUGUAUCUGGAUGAGUUAUGUAAUGAUUCUUAAAGCCCAUUGAUGAACAAUUUUGUCUAAUAAAAUCCAAAAUCAAGUUCUCCUUGAAAUCCCGGCGGGCUAAUUUAAUUAGAAAGGUUAAGAAGAACAAACAUCCAAGCUAGGAAUAAGCAGGAUGAAAGAAGCACUCGGCAACCAACUAAGUUCUUCAUACCUCUGGCUUCUAUGUGCAGUUUUUAUAUGCAAAUGAUCCUUGAAUUCUGAAGUUAGUUUGCACAUAUUCAUCAACAUUAUUUAUGGCAUCUUCGAUAGCAAUUCGCUUGAUUCAUCCAGGCAAACUAAAAUCCAUAACAUAGGAACAACAGUUGUAGGUGUUGAUAAGUUUAGCAACAAGUAUUAUGAGAAACUUGGGGACAUUCAAAAUGGUUUGUUUCGUUAUCCUUUUUUUAUAUAAUGUACAUGUUGAAAAUGCACCACCGGUUCCAAACAUUUCAUUGGAUAUUUAUAUUACGAGUGUCAUUUUUACGGUUUACCUGAUA
Gossypium arboreum is the source of this 1718-nucleotide long non-coding RNA. RefSeq lists it as uncharacterized. Lineage: Eukaryota; Viridiplantae; Streptophyta; Magnoliopsida; Malvales; Malvaceae. The transcript is spliced from 2 exons. The record is from RefSeq and is a predicted model, not a curated record.